GUAGUUUAGUUUAGUUUAAAUAAAACAUUCUGUUGUUACCAGAAAAAUCAACGCUAAAAUAUGUCUAAUUUAG
This 73-nucleotide transfer RNA is filed under the name Tigriopus japonicus. RNAcentral's name for it is "tRNA-Asn". The record is from RNAcentral. Lineage: Eukaryota; Metazoa; Arthropoda; Copepoda; Harpacticoida; Harpacticidae.